UGUGCAAAGGUAGCAUAAUCAAUUGACUUAUAAUUGAAGUCUAGAAUGAAAGGAUGCAUGGGAAAUAACUGUCUAAAAUAGUGUAAAUAGAACUUACUUAAUAAGUGAAAAUGCUUAUAAAGAAAUAAUAGACGAGAAGACCCUUGAAAUUUUGUUUAAAAUCUUUAACGAUUAAAAUUUUGUUGGGGCGACAGAAUAGCACGUAACCUAUUCUAUGUUAUUGACAUUUAUAUAAGGUAAUAAUAAAUUACUCUAGGGAUAACAGCAUAAUUUUUUAAAAGAUUGUGACCUCGAUGUUGGACUAGGAUAUAAUAUGUUUAGAAGAUGUAAUAUAAUGCUCUGUUCGAGCGUAAAUUCCUACAUGAUCUGAGUUCAAAUCGA
RNAcentral lists this ribosomal RNA (381 nucleotides) under Elona quimperiana. Its description in RNAcentral is "partial 16S ribosomal RNA". Lineage: Eukaryota; Metazoa; Mollusca; Gastropoda; Stylommatophora; Elonidae. The record is from RNAcentral.